CACUGACUGAGAACAAUCAAACCCUUCACAAUCUAGAACCUGGAGAUUCUGAGAACAUCAGAGAAAGACCGCCCUUGCCACUCAUACUUCAGCAAAACUUUGGCACCUUGGACCUUGGGUUCAUAAUCUCACAACUCAGAAGGACCCCUCCAGACUCUUAGAACUGUAUACCCCUUGGAGAUGGAUUCUGCAGCCAGCUUUACACAUGGACAAUCUCAUGCCUUGACAGAUGGUUAUCAUAUCAUUUGUGACAUAUACAGACAAGCUAUGAGAGUGAAUGUA
RNAcentral lists this long non-coding RNA (282 nucleotides) under Homo sapiens (human). Its description in RNAcentral is "HSALNT0126756". Lineage: Eukaryota; Metazoa; Chordata; Mammalia; Primates; Hominidae. The record is from RNAcentral.